RNAcentral lists this ribosomal RNA (460 nucleotides) under uncultured bacterium. RNAcentral describes it as "partial 16S ribosomal RNA". It matches the Rfam family "Bacterial small subunit ribosomal RNA", at positions 338 to 795 of the family's 1533-position model. The record is from RNAcentral.
CCUACGGGUGGCAGCAGUGAGGAAUAUUGGUCAAUGGGCGAGAGCCUGAACCAGCCAAGUCGCGUGAGGGAGUACUGCCCUAUGGGUUGUAAACUUCUUUUAUAUGGGAAUAAAACGUUCCACGUGUGGGAUUUUGUAUGUACCAUAUGAAUAAGGAUCGGCUAACUCCGUGCCAGCAGCCGCGGUAAUACGGAGGAUCCGAGCGUUAUCCGGAUUUAUUGGGUUUAAAGGGAGCGUAGGUGGAUUGUUAAGUCAGUUGUGAAAGUUUGCGGCUCAACCGUAAAAUUGCAGUUGAAACUGGCAGUCUUGAGUACAGUAGAGGUGGGCGGAAUUCGUGGUGUAGCGGUGAAAUGCUUAGAUAUCACGAAGAACUCCGAUUGCGAAGGCAGCUCACUGGACUGCAACUGACACUGAGGCUCGAAAGUGUGGGUAUCAAACAGGAUUAGAUACCCUUGUAGUC